GGGCGAAAGCCUGACGCAGCGACGCCGCGUGGGGGAUGAAGCUUCUCGGAGUGUAAACCCCUUUCGUACCCGGCAGCGAAACAGCCCGGCCAAGGGCAUUGGAUCGGUACGGGUAUGAAGAAAGCCCGGCCUAACUACGUGCCAGCAGCCGCGGUAAGACGUAGGGGGCUAGCGUUGUUCGGAAUUACUGGGCGUAAAGCGUAUGCAGGCGGACUUUUAAGUCGGGGGUGAAAUCCCGAGGCUCAACCUCGGAACUGCCUUCGAUACUGGAAGUCUUGAGUCCGGGAGAGGUGAGUGGAACUCCGAGUGUAGAGGUGAAAUUCGUAGAUAUUCGGAAGAACACCAGUGGCGAAGGCGGCUUCACUGGCCCGGUACUGACGCUGAGAUACGAAAGCGUGGGGAGCAAACA
This 409-nucleotide ribosomal RNA is filed under the name uncultured Alphaproteobacteria bacterium. RNAcentral describes it as "bacterial SSU rRNA". It matches the Rfam family "Bacterial small subunit ribosomal RNA", at positions 373 to 774 of the family's 1533-position model. Lineage: Bacteria; Pseudomonadati; Pseudomonadota; Alphaproteobacteria. The record is from RNAcentral.